Molecule: long non-coding RNA, 1723 nt
Filed under: Ictidomys tridecemlineatus (thirteen-lined ground squirrel)
Lineage: Eukaryota; Metazoa; Chordata; Mammalia; Rodentia; Sciuridae
Description: lncRNA (ENSSTOG00000029771.1)
Source: RNAcentral
UCCAGCUCGCCUGCAGCCCGGACCCCGCCCCGCUCCUCCAGGAUCAGCCCGCAAGCUGCUGGUGACUGCUUGGGCCCCAGCUCCAGGUCUGACCCAGGAGGCCGCUGGUGCGGGAGUGCGGGCUGGACGUCAGGGGAGCAAGCAGGGAUACGUCGGACGGGCUCGCUGGACCUCUGACAGAUGGCAGUGUCCCCGCACCGCAGCAGCCAGGACUCUGGGAAUUCCAGGACACCAGCAAACAUUCUUUCAGUCCUGCCAUGAACAGGAGAAUAAUUGUAAUUGAAAUGUGAGGAAAUGCGGGAAGAAAUUAACUCUCAGAAACUGUCAACUCCGGCAAAAAUAAACAGCACGUCACAGCAAAGGAGAGGAGAGAGGCUCUGCCCCUUCCAGGAAGAGUAAAAGUGACAGGCAGUUAUAAUCAGGUGAGAGGCAGGGAAGGCGAGGAAGGGGGGCUGCCGCCCAGCUGCUGGUGGAAAACCGCGGCAGCAUACAGUCUGCCUUGAGUGCCCAUGAUUGUGGGGCCUAAUUAUAAAGGGACUUGAUUGUCCUAAAUGCAUUCAGUAGGAGCAUAAUUACAAAGUGUGCUGAGAGCUUCGGACACCCAACAUAAAAGCACUGUCUAGUCCUGAAGGACUUUCUUCCCUUUAAUCUACCACCCAUGGAGCCCAGCCAGAACCAAGGUCUGAAAAUGACCCUAAGUCCUGCAGAAUGGACCCUAGGGAUGGAGAAGACUGGGAUUCUGAAGGACACAGAAGAGUGAGUCUGCAGUGGCUCAGCAGUUCCAAGAGAGGCUCCAACCGUCCUUUACAUCCUCCUGUGCCCUUUGCAUGUCUAUAUGAAGAUUGUAACAAAAUAAAAAGGUGUUUAAAUAAUUUUGUUCCUAGUUAUAUUUAGGCAAAUUCAUAAAUAUCUCUGUUCCAAUAGGCUACAGUUAGUCUGAAACUUAUUCUUGUGUGGCUGGAUGUUUAGACCCUGUAUGUAAUACUUUGAUUUGUGAAUAUUGCAUCUCAUCCUGUUGGAAAAGGUCUUCUGAACCUUGGUUCUUCAAUCUAGUUUAAUACUUGUCUUUCCCAGAAUGAGCUCAUCCAAACCAAUGAAUGGACUCGCCUCUGUGGUGGUAGUGACAGUGGUGUAGGUGUGAUUUCCAAGGAAGCACCUCAUUUUCUCCUCCAGUGCUCUUGAGGCCUGUGUGGCCACCCCACUUACAGAAGAUGAAACCAAAGUCCAGAGAAGGAGCCCGAGCUGGACUUUCACAUUCAUACUGUGUUCGGUGGGAGAGUGGACAGCUGAAUGUGAGGCUUCUUAGACUCCACAGAUGUUCCAUUCAUUGUGGUUUAAAAGCUAUGGGAUGGGCAGUGUGUAGGUGCACAGCAUCCUACUGACCGCACAGCCCUGGAGUAGACACUUGACCACUGCCCAGCAAAGUCCCCAAGAGCACGAUGAGCAGGAAGGACAGAGUGGAGGGCAGAAGCUUGUGCCAGACCCUGCUCGGUGGCAGCAUUCUUCAUGUGCAUCGCACAGUCACCCAGUGCUGACACUCGGCUGUGCACAGGACAGCCACUGGCCACAGAGGGUGACUGGGCCUCCAACUGUGGCCUGGUCCCCAGGAAGAUGUGCCAAACUGUGAUACACAGUGGAUGCAGAAAGCUUGCUCAUUGACACCUAUUCAUGUUGUUCAAACAAUGUGUUGGAGAUGCUAAUUUAAAUAAAAUAUAGACGUGUG